This 399-nucleotide ribosomal RNA is filed under the name uncultured bacterium. Its description in RNAcentral is "bacterial SSU rRNA". It matches the Rfam family "Bacterial small subunit ribosomal RNA", at positions 359 to 773 of the family's 1533-position model. The record is from RNAcentral.
GAAUUUUGCGCAAUGGACGAAAGUCUGACGCAGCAACGCCGCGUGAGGGAUGACGGCCUUCGGGUUGUAAACCACUGUCGGGAGGGACGAAGAUCUGACGGUACCUCCAAAGGAAGCACCGGCUAACUCUGUGCCAGCAGCCGCGGUAAUACAGAGGGUGCGAGCGUUGUCCGGAAUCACUGGGCGUAAAGGGCGCGUAGGCGGCCCGAUAAGUAGGGGGUGAAAUCUUGCGGCUUAACCGCAAGGCUGCCUUCUAAACUGUCGGGCUGGAGCACGGUAGAGGCAGAUGGAAUUCCCGGUGUAGCGGUGGAAUGCGUAGAGAUCGGGAAGAACACCAGUGGCGAAGGCGGUCUGCUGGGCCGUUGCUGACGCUGAGGCGCGACAGCGUGGGGAGCAAAC